UAUUUAAUCACAUGAUUUUUUAAGGAAAGGUCAGCCGAACUAAGAUGGGCUCGCGUUCUAUCAGCUAGUUGGUAGGGUAACGGCCUACCAAGGCUACGACGGAUAGCUGGUCUGAGAGGACGAUCAGCCACACUGGGACUGAGACACGGCCCAGACUCCUACGGGAGGCAGCAGCAGGGAAUAUUGUGCAAUGAACGAAAGUUUGACACAGCGACACCGCGUGUGGGAUGACGGAUCUAGGUUUGUAAACCACUUUCAGGAGGGAAGAAAAUGACGGUACCUCCACAAGAAGCCCCGGCCAACUACGUGCCAGCAGCCGCGGUAAUACGUAGGGGGCGUAGCGUUGUCCGGAUUUAUUGGGCGUAAAGAGCUCGUAGGCGGUUCAACAAGUCGGUCGUGAAAGUUCAGGGCUCAACCUUGAAAUGUCGAUCGAUACUGUUGUGACUAGGAUACGGCAGAGGUGAGUGGAAUUCCGAGUGUAGCGGUGAAAUGCGUAGAUAUUCGGAGGAACACCAAUUGCGAAGGCAGCUCACUGGGCCGCUAUCGACGCUGAGGAGCGAAAGCUAGGGGAGCAAACAGGAUUAGAUACCCUGGUAGUCCUAGCUGUAAACGAUGGAUACUAGAUGUAGGAAUUGGUUUAACGAUUUCUGGUAUCGUAGCUAACGCGUUAAGUAUCCCGCCUGGGGGAGUACGGGUCGCAAGACUAAAAACUCAAAGGAAAUUGACGGGGACCCCCGCACAAAGCGGCGGGAGCAUGCGGGCUUAAUUCGAAUGAUACCCCGUAAAAACCUUUACCCUGGGACUUUGACAUUAUAAGGGGAAAAAGUUUAUAAGAACAUAUAAAUGGUGCAUUUAGCCGCCCCUAAUACAGGGUGGGU
This 878-nucleotide ribosomal RNA is filed under the name uncultured marine bacterium. Its description in RNAcentral is "bacterial SSU rRNA". It matches the Rfam family "Bacterial small subunit ribosomal RNA", at positions 179 to 1044 of the family's 1533-position model. The record is from RNAcentral.